AUACGUAGGUGACGAGCGUUGUCCGGAAUUAUUGGGCGUAAAGGGAGCGCAGGCGGUUGGAAUAGUCUGAUGUGAAAGCCCACGGCUUAACCGUGGAAGGUCAUUGGAAACUGUCCAACUUGAAUGCAGAAGAGGAAAGUGGAAUUCCAUGUGUAGCGGUGAAAUGCGUAGAUAUAUGGAGGAACACCAGUGGCGAAGGCGACUUUCUGGUCUGUAAUUGACGCUGAGGCUCGAAAGCGUGGGUAGCGAACAGGAUUAGAUACCCUGGUAGUCCACGCCGUAAACGAUGAGUGCUAAGUGUUGGGGGGUUUCCGCCUCUCAGUGCUGCAGUUAACGCAUUAAGCACUCCGCCUGGGGAGUACGGCCGCAAGGCUGAA
This 377-nucleotide ribosomal RNA is filed under the name uncultured bacterium. RNAcentral describes it as "bacterial SSU rRNA". It matches the Rfam family "Bacterial small subunit ribosomal RNA", at positions 523 to 898 of the family's 1533-position model. The record is from RNAcentral.